AGUGAACGCUGGCGGUAGGCCUAACACAUGCAAGUCGAACGGCAGCACAGUAAGAGCUUGCUCUUACGGGUUGCGAGUGGCGGACGGGUGAGGAAUACAUCGGAAUCUACUUUUUCGUGGGGGAUAACGUAGGGAAACUUACGCUAAUACCGCAUACGACCUACGGUUGAAAGCAGGGGAUCUUCGGACCUUGCGCGAUUGAAUGAGCCGAUGUCGGAUUAGCUAGUUGGCGGGGUAAAGGCCCACCAAGGCGACAAUCCGUAGCUGGUCUGAGAGGAUGAUCAGCCACACUGGAACUGAGACACGGUCAAGACGCCUACGGGAGGCAGCAGUGGGGAAUAUUGGACAAUGGGCGCAAGCCUGAUCCAGCCAUACCGAGUGGGUGAAGAAGGCCUUCGGGUUGUAAAGACCUUUUGUUGGGAAAGAAAAGCAGCAGGUUAAUACCCAGCGGUUCUGACGGUACCCAAAGAAUAAGCACCGGCUAACUUCGUG
Molecule: ribosomal RNA, 492 nt
Filed under: uncultured bacterium
Lineage: Bacteria
Description: partial 16S ribosomal RNA
Rfam family: Bacterial small subunit ribosomal RNA
Source: RNAcentral